AACUACAAGCUUCAAAGAAAUGUAAUGGGUCAAAUUUAAGAUUGGUGCUACUAUAAGAAUCUACAAAUUUGGUGCCUAAUCUCUACCAAAUUUCAUCCAAGCAAGUGUUCAAGAAACUAUGGCAGACAGAGCUACCGAAAAAAUAAAAAUUACAUUCUGGAGAGUUUACAAAAACUUCAUUCCUACUUACAACAAUCUACAAAAAAGAAGAUUGAGGAGCUCGGCAGCAUGUCCUAGAUGCUCUAAUGGAGAAGAGUACCUAGAACAUGUUUUUCGUGAUUGUCAAGCUGUCAAGUAAAUAUGGAGCAUGUUAAAUGUCAAAUGGCCUACAAACAAUUCAAAUGAGUGUUAUAGACAGUGGAUGGAUUGGUUGUUCAUAGAAUAUUCUACAAAUAUAUGCAGGAUAACAAUAUGUGCAAUUUGGGCGAUCUGGGAGACAGAAACAAACAGGUGCAUGAAAGAAAAUAUCGAUAGAAUACAGAAAAGGUGCAUUUUAUCACAUCAUUCUUACAGGAACUUGAAGAGGUAAAAGUUCGUCACCUGUCAGACGUACUCAACCAGAGAGAUGGGGCCACCAGAAACGUCUUUUGUGAAGAUAAACUUCGAUGCAUCUUUUCUAGGUUGUUCGUACAAAUCCUGUUCGAGGUUGGUGGGGCGAGAGUUAGAAGGAAAAAAAUUUGGGAAUGAGAAUGAUAAUAAACAAUCAUGUACCAACCUCUUUUGCGGCAGAAGCGAUUAGGUGCCUCCAAGGAAUCCAAAUGGGUCUGGAUCUAGGAUUUCGGAAAGUGGUGGUUGAAGAGGAUAGUAUCAAUGUGAUAAAGAAACUGCAAAACCAAAAGGAAGACAUGUCUAUGAUUAGAGAUUACAUAGAAGAUGCGAGAAUAGAAAGUCGAGAUUUUGAGGAAUGCAUGUUCAGAUAUGUUGGAAGAAAUGCUAAUGAAACUGCCAAUUGACUAGCAAAAGAAAGUAUAAGUAGAGGAGAAACCACUUAUUUGAUGGAGAGAAUGCCCACGUCUGUGAUGGAAGCGGCAAAGGAAGACAACCAAUGAUCUGAGAUGAUGGAACAACUGGGAAAUGGCAACCGUCGAGGGAAUUUGGGGAUGGGUUCAGGAGAGAUGGAAAUGUUUUCUUAAAGAGAGUGUUCUAUUCCAUUAAGAAGCUGUUGAUUUUAUCUCUUCUGCUUUGGGUAGGUAGGUGCUCUUUUCUAGGCGGGUCUUUGUGCAUUUUACUAGGCUUGGC
This 1239-nucleotide long non-coding RNA is filed under the name Gossypium barbadense (sea-island cotton). RNAcentral describes it as "long non-coding RNA (GBAR_LNC019792)". Lineage: Eukaryota; Viridiplantae; Streptophyta; Magnoliopsida; Malvales; Malvaceae. The record is from RNAcentral.